UGCGUAGGCGGUUUUCUAAGUCAGGUGUGAAAUCUUCCGGCUCAACCGGAAAACUGCGCCUGAGACUGGAUAACUUGAGUGAGGUAGGGUGUGUGGAACUUCCGGUGGAGCGGUGAAAUGUGUAGAGAUCGGAAGGAACGCCAGCAGCGAAAGCGGCACACUGGGCCUUUUCUGACGCUGAGGCACGAAAGCUAGGGGAGUGAACG
RNAcentral lists this ribosomal RNA (206 nucleotides) under uncultured bacterium. RNAcentral's name for it is "partial 16S ribosomal RNA". It matches the Rfam family "Bacterial small subunit ribosomal RNA", at positions 568 to 774 of the family's 1533-position model. The record is from RNAcentral.